Molecule: ribosomal RNA, 497 nt
Filed under: uncultured bacterium
Lineage: Bacteria
Description: partial 16S ribosomal RNA
Rfam family: Bacterial small subunit ribosomal RNA
Source: RNAcentral
GAUGAACGCUGGCGGCGUGCCUAAUACAUGCAAGUCGAGCGAACGGACGAGAAGCUUGCUUCUCUGAUGUUAGCGGCGGACGGGUGAGUAACACGUGGAUAACCUACCUAUAAGACUGGGAUAACUUCGGGAAACCGGAGCUAAUACCGGAUAAUAUUUUGAACUGCAUGGUUCAAAAGUGAAAGAAGGUCUUGCUGUCACUUAUAGAUGGAUCCGCGCUGCAUUAGCUAGUUGGUAAGGUAACGGCUUACCAAGGCAACGAUGCAUAGCCGACCUGAGCGGGUGGUCGGCCAGACGGGAACUGAGGCACGGUCCAGACUCCUACGGGAGGCAGCAGUAGAGAAUCUUCCGCAAUGGGCGAAAGCCUGACGGAGCAACGCCGCGUGAGUGAUGAAGGUCUUCGGAUCGUAGAACUCUGUUAUUAGGGAAGAUCAUAUGUGUAAGUAACUGUGCACAUCUUGACGGUACCUAAUCAGAAAGCCACGGCUAACUACGUG